AUUGGGCGUAAAGAGCUCGUAGGCGUGCUUAACACAUGCAAGUCGAACGGUGAACUCCGCUUGCUCUUCUUGGAUGAGUUGCGAACGGGUGAGUAACGCGUAGGUAACCUGCCUUGUAGCGGGGGAUAACUAUUGGAAACGAUAGCUAAUACCGCAUAACAAUGGAUGACACAUGUCAUUUAUUUGAAAGGGGCAAUUGUUCCACUACAAGAUGGACCUGCGUUGUAUUAGCUAGUAGGUGAGGUAAUGGCUCACCUAGGCGACGAUACAUAGCCGACCUGAGAGGGUGAUCGGCCACACUGGGACUGAGACACGGCCCAGACUCCUACGGGAGGCAGCAGUAGGGAAUCUUCGGCAAUGGGGCAACCCUGACCGAGCAACGCCGCGUGAGUGAAGAAGGUUUCGGAUCGUAAAGCUCUGUUGUAAGUCAAGAAC
RNAcentral lists this ribosomal RNA (435 nucleotides) under uncultured Streptococcus sp. RNAcentral's name for it is "bacterial SSU rRNA". It matches the Rfam family "Bacterial small subunit ribosomal RNA", at positions 35 to 450 of the family's 1533-position model. The record is from RNAcentral. Lineage: Bacteria; Bacillati; Bacillota; Bacilli; Lactobacillales; Streptococcaceae.